RNAcentral lists this ribosomal RNA (629 nucleotides) under Paenibacillus peoriae. RNAcentral describes it as "bacterial LSU rRNA". It matches the Rfam family "Bacterial large subunit ribosomal RNA", at positions 1546 to 2170 of the family's 2925-position model. The record is from RNAcentral. Lineage: Bacteria; Bacillati; Bacillota; Bacilli; Caryophanales; Paenibacillaceae.
CAUCGUAAGGCUGGGCUGUGAUGGGGAGCGAAAAUUGUAGUAGCGAAGGUCAUGAUCUCAGACUGCCAAGAAAAGCCUCUAGCCAGGAGAAGGUGCCCGUACCGCAAACCGACACAGGUAGGCGAGAAGAGAAUUCUAAGGCGCGCGGAAGAACUCUCGUUAAGGAACUCGGCAAAAUGACCCCGUAACUUCGGGAGAAGGGGUGCCUCGGUAGGGUGAAUAGCCCGAGGGGGCCGCAGUGAAAAGGCCCAAGCGACUGUUUAGCAAAAACACAGGUCUGUGCGAAGCCGCAAGGCGAAGUAUACGGGCUGACGCCUGCCCGGUGCUGGAAGGUUAAGGGGAGUGGUAAGCCUUCGGGCGAAGCUAUGAACCGAAGCCCCAGUAAACGGCGGCCGUAACUAUAACGGUCCUAAGGUAGCGAAAUUCCUUGUCAGGUAAAUUCUGACCCGCACGAAUGGCGUAACGACUUGGGCGCUGUCUCAACGAGAGAUCCGGUGAAAUUUUAAUACCUGUGAAGAUGCAGGUUACCCGCGACAAGACGGAAAGACCCCAUGGAGCUUUACUGCAGCUUGAUAUUGAAUUUGGGUACGAUCUGUACAGGAUAGGUGGGAGCCGUAGAACUUUGAGCG